This 70-nucleotide transfer RNA is filed under the name Ovis aries (sheep). It matches the Rfam family "tRNA". Rfam says of the family: Transfer RNA (tRNA) molecules are approximately 80 nucleotides in length. Their secondary structure includes four short double-helical elements and three loops (D, anti-codon, and T loops). Lineage: Eukaryota; Metazoa; Chordata; Mammalia; Artiodactyla; Bovidae. The record is from Rfam by way of RNAcentral.
UCCCUGGUGGCUCAGAGGUUAAAGCGUCUGCCUCACGCAGGAGACCUGGGUUCGAUCCCUGGGUUGGGAA